This 23-nucleotide non-coding RNA is filed under the name Arabidopsis thaliana (thale cress). The record is from RNAcentral. Lineage: Eukaryota; Viridiplantae; Streptophyta; Magnoliopsida; Brassicales; Brassicaceae.
CAGCGGAGUCUUUGAUCACGCUA